CUGAAAUGAGGUUUUCUGAAGAUUUACUCCUUCAGAAAUACAGGUGAGCAUGAAUCUUUGCCACCAAUAGUUACAUAAGCAUUCAGAGUGUUGAACUCUUUCUAUGGAAGUUUUAUUAUUAAUGUAUGCUUCUUUUCUAAUUUUUUUUCUUUCUAUGUCUAAAUACGUCAUAGUGUUAUGAUACCCGGUGUUACAAUUGCAAAGAGAUGGAGACACUCUUGUAUUGGAAGCCUCAAAGAAUGACACACAACCAGAUGCAGACAAAUUUACCACAUACCGGCAUUCAGAUUCAAAAAGCAGUAGCUUAACAGCAGAAAAGGGCAAAAUCUAGAAGAUUUCUGUACUCCUUUGGCAGUUGGAAUAAUCUGCACUGGUAAAUGCUCAACUUGAUUGGUAAUGCCAUUAAAAACUGUUCAUCACUUACAUGCAGAAGUUGCCUGAUAGUUGUACUUCACUGAGAGUUACUUCCAUCUUUACACAUAAAUCCAGUUUUUGGGUUAUUUUGGGGAGUUGGUCGGCUAUAGUAGAUACACUGCUACCUGUGUUUCAGACACUUCUGUAUCUGCACACAUGUAGGUACAUAUUUUUUUGUCUUGAAACGCUUCAAUUCUGUUGUGCAGCAUUCAUUCAUAUUAUGGUGCUGUGUUAAUCUGUU
Molecule: long non-coding RNA, 655 nt
Filed under: Numida meleagris (helmeted guineafowl)
Lineage: Eukaryota; Metazoa; Chordata; Aves; Galliformes; Numididae
Description: lncRNA (ENSNMEG00000005296.1)
Source: RNAcentral